GACGAACGCUGGCGGCGUGCUUAACACAUGCAAGUCGAGCGGUAAGGCCCUUUCGGGGGCACACGAGCGGCGAACGGGUGAGUAACACGUGGGUGACCUGCCCUCAGCUCUGGGAUAAGCCUGGGAAACUGGGUCUAAUACUGGAUAUGACUCCACGGUGCAUGUCGUGGGGUGGAAAGCCUUGUGCGGCUGAGGAUGGGCCCGCGGCCUAUCAGCUUGUUGGGGGGUGAUGGCCUACCAAGGCGACGACGGGUAGCCGGCCUGAGAGGGCGACCGGCCACACUGGGACUGAGACACGGCCCAGACUCCUACGGGAGGCAGCAGUGGGGAAUCUUGCGCAAUGGGCGAAAGCCUGACGCAGCGACGCCGCGUGAGGA
This 377-nucleotide ribosomal RNA is filed under the name uncultured bacterium. Its description in RNAcentral is "bacterial SSU rRNA". It matches the Rfam family "Bacterial small subunit ribosomal RNA", at positions 28 to 407 of the family's 1533-position model. The record is from RNAcentral.